This 767-nucleotide ribosomal RNA is filed under the name Austrochloritis sp. BR3. RNAcentral describes it as "partial large subunit ribosomal RNA". The stretch from base 367 to 523 matches the Rfam family "Archaeal large subunit ribosomal RNA", at positions 1883 to 2090 of the family's 2987-position model. Lineage: Eukaryota; Metazoa; Mollusca; Gastropoda; Stylommatophora; Camaenidae. The record is from RNAcentral.
UUGAUUAGAAUAACGUAGAUAAUUGUACACGAAUUUGAGUGAGCUAAUUAUAUUAGAUUUGUAGAUUAUUAACGUGUUGCAGAACGCUUUAAAAAUAUGAUUAGGGGUGAUAGGCUUCUCAAACUCAAGGAUAACUUGAUAACCUUGAAAAGUAAUAGUACUAAGAUAACUUUACAAUGAUUAGGUUUUAAAGCGGAUCGAAAUUUUGAAAGUCUACGGCAAAAUGUGUAAAUGUUAUUGCUUUAUCGUUUUACAAUUUUUUUAAUUAUAAUUGAUUUCGUUAGGGGUUUAUUAUUAAAUUGGAAAUUUAAUUGUUAAUGUUAAAAUUAGUAAUAUCAUAAAUGUAUUUCAUGAACUCGGCGAUAGAACCUUUAACUGUUUAUCAAAAACAUAGCCAAAAGUGUUUAUUUUUGGUGACUUCUGCUCAAUGAAUUUUAAAUAGCCGCAGUAACUUGACUGUGCUAAGGUAGCGCAAUCAAUUGACUUUUAAUUGAAGUCCUGUAUGAAAGAAUCUAUGGAGGUUAACUUUAUUAUUUGCAUGUCAUGAAUUUAUUUAUCAGGUGCAAAUACCUGUAAUUAAAUAAUAGACGAGAAGACCCUAGAAAUUUUUGAAAACUGUUUUUUGUUGGGGCAACAAAGUAGCAUUUAAUCUACUGUUUAUAACACGCAAAUCUUAUUUGGCGAGAUGAAAUUACUCUAGGGAUAACAGCAUAAUUUUUAAAAAGUUUGUGACCUCGAUGUUGGAUUAGGGAAAUAACGUUUAGAAG